UCCCCCCCCCCCCAGUCAAGGAUGAACACUUGUGCUUGCAAGGCUCUUCUACUGAUCUAGGCUUUUAAUUCCUAAACAACAGCUCCUACAUACGGAGAGAACACACCAUUCUAUACUUGGCACACAUAAGACAGAAUUAAAAGGGAAACCCAUUUACUUUAGUAACAAAACACUGUAAGACACUUCCCUCCCGCACACUUCUUUGCACUCCCUUGGCAUCUUAUCCACAAAUAGCCAGAAACCAUUUUGAAAGCUAAGUCCUUUUUUGUUUGUUUUUUCUGAGACAGGGUUUCUCUGUAUAGCCCUGGCUGUCCUGGAACUCACUCUGUAGACCAGGGUGGCCUCGAACUCAGAAAUCAGAAAGCUAAGUCCUGAAAGGUUGUGGACAGAUGGACUCGUGCUUCCCUGCUUCACACUGGUCACGUGUGCCUUCUCCAGGCUCAUGUCACACAGUGGUCACUCAGAGACAGCUCGGUGACCAAAUUCCUCACAAGGCCAUGCCAAGGUGCAGUGCCAGCAAUGGAGCGCGUUCUAAUGGAGCAACACCGCUGCUCCCCCAGCUUCUUCUCUAGUCGCCUUCUGACAACAGGAAGCCUGCUCCAGGAAGGCUUAACGUUAGCACCGGUGGGGGUGGAAUGAAAAUGGCCCCCAUAAGGGGUGGGCACUACUGGGAGGUGUGGCCUUGUUGGAGGAAGUGUGUCACUAGGAGAUGGGCUGUGGGGUUUCAGAAGCUCAAGCCCAAGCCAGGCCCAGUGGCUCUCUUUUCUUGAUGCCUGCCAAUCCCGAUGUAGAGCUCUCAGCUACCUGUCCAACACCAUGCCUGCCUGCAUGCUGCCAUGCUUUCCACCAUUAUAAUGGACUAAACCUCUGAAACUGUAAGACAGCCCCAAUUAAAUGUCCUUUACAAGAGGUCAUGAUGUCUCUUCGCAGCAAUAAAACCCUAAGACAGACACCAAAGAGUCGGGGGUGGGGGGGGGGGCACAGGUGUCAUGUUGGGCCAUGAAGAUGUCAGAAAAGAGUGCAAGCAACUGAGAUGGAGAAGGAAGCUCAGGCUUAAGGAACCUGCUCCUUGUGGCUGAGAUAAUUGGACCUAUUUCUAUUCCUAUUUAAACAUUUUUGUCACCUAUAGUUAGGAUAAAUUAUUGUUCUGGAACCUGCUACAUGUAAGAAGUUUGUUUUUGAAAAACAUAUAUAGUGGGGGCUGGAGUCAUAUCUCAGCUGUUAAAGAGCACUGGCUGCCCUUCCAGAGAACUCAGAUUCAACUCCUAGCACCCACACCAGUUCCAAGAGAUCCACCCUCUUCUUUUGACCUCUGUAAGCACUGUGCAUAUGUGCUGCACAGACAUACAUGCAAGCAAACCACCCAUACACAUAGACACCACCAACAAUUCUGAAAUAAAAAUACAAUGGUGGGAAAAAGGUAAAUCACCAAUAAGCAAUAAAACAAAUUUGUGCUUUAAAGAAGAUGUUAUAGGUUCACAUCUCUAGAGAUGGAAGGAGCUAUUUACAGUAAGAAAUUUAAAGAUGGGGCAUUGGAUCUCUGAAUUCAAGGACAACCUAGUAUACAGAGCUAGUUCCAGCAGAGCCAGGGCUUCAUAGAGAAACCCUGUCUCAAAGAAGAAAGAAGCAGGGUAUGGUGUGGCUGAAUUUUAAACAUGAAUGACUUGGUGAGAAUUUCAGAACUGUCUCUUGAAUUAGCUCUGGGAAAGGAACAGCUGAAAUGACCAGAGUACAAUAUCACAACAGCAACAAAGUGCAAUGUGAGGAGUCUCUGCUGGCCUGAGCGUGACAGAAGCUGCUGCUCUGAAGGCACGAGGGCCUGCCCAAUAGAGCAAUCCAAAUCUGAAGUAACUGUGCUUUUCAUACAGGAGAUGGUGCCCCAGACAAACAGUAAGUCAUGUGCGCUAUUGGCAACAUGUCUUCAGUGACUCAUCGGCCAUCUGAAGCUGGAAGAGGGCGUUUCUGAAUAUCACCCAUCUCCCCUGGCUUCAGUUCUGUUCCCCCAGCCAUCUCACUGGCCAUAAAUUAUUUCACAAGGGAAUUUUCCUCUGAGGCACAGGCAGCUCGUGGAAACAUCUAUCCACUUGACUGUCUGUACAGUGUGUUCUCACACGGAAUCCAGCAUUGAGAAGCUGUUUUCAGGAUCUACCCCAGAUAAGCACACCAUUUCGUCUUGAUGGACAGACCUAAGCAGACAGAAGAAAAGCCCCUCAACAUCGUCCUUUUGACACACUCACUCCUUGGGUACAAGUUCUCCGCCCUGAACACACAUGAGACCCGUUCCUACACACACUUGCUGACACACUCACUCCUUGGGUACAAGUUCUCCGCCCUGAAUACACAGGAGACCUGUUCCUACACACACUCUCUGACACACUCACUCCUUGGGUUCACUGCCCUGGACACACAGGAAACCCAUUCCUGCAUAGACUCUUUGAGGAUGAAAGACAGCCACGGGACGCAAGCUACUUCCCAGUGGAUUGCUGCCAGAUGCCUGUGGCAAAGCUUCCUUCGGACUCUUGGCAAGCGCUGCUCUGUGUCUUGAAAUAACGAGAGCAGAGCUGUGAGGCUGAGCAUUUGCGUAACUGGUGAAGUCUGCCAGUGAAUAAUUCCUAAUCACCCGCUAUCGAGAAGAUACACGCAGCAGCAAACAGUGAGGUUAAGUGUAUUUACUCUGCAGGCAACACAAACUCGGGCAUCACAAAGGCAUGGAGACGUGCCUGGCAGCCAAGAGAUCAGCCACCAGGAACCUGGCAGGGUGCCAUUGUUUUCCUUUGGCCUCUAAGAUAGGUACUUGGGGGAGGGAGGAGUUGUUUUUAACUAGAUUUGGGUCUGGAACUAAAAUGAAGUUUACUCAACUCUAUGACCUCAACAGAAUACUAAAGCUU
Molecule: long non-coding RNA, 2888 nt
Filed under: Mus musculus (house mouse)
Lineage: Eukaryota; Metazoa; Chordata; Mammalia; Rodentia; Muridae
Description: long non-coding RNA chr6:49094654-49097542
Source: RNAcentral